Molecule: long non-coding RNA, 708 nt
Organism: Octopus sinensis (East Asian common octopus)
Lineage: Eukaryota; Metazoa; Mollusca; Cephalopoda; Octopoda; Octopodidae
Exons: 3
Source: RefSeq, a predicted model, not a curated record
UGCGCAUUGAACGUGGUUUCUACUUGAUGUUGACUUCCGGGUCAAACGUCCUUCGAAUGAAUUUCUUUUAAUCAGCUGAUAAUAAUAAUAAUACAUUUAUAACACUUAAAAUACGUACUUAUAAUGCAUUUCUCAACUGCCAUAUACACACGUAUAUAAACAACACUGUCCUCUAUGAAACAUUUGCAACAUCAGAUGACAGAAGAAGAAUCCUAAAUAUCUACAAGGUUUUAAAGACUAAAGGAAAAUAUUAUACAAAACGGAUAUAUAACAUUGUUUCUACCAAUCUGUCUCUUGAAAAAUAUUUGCUCUGGAAUAAUAAUAUUAGCAACAUUUCUGAGCAUCUCUGACUGGAAUGUCAGGAAAAAGUGCUUGCGUGCUGAUUAAAGUUGGAUAAAUUUAUGGAAGUGUUGCUAAACAACGGUAACACUGGACAGAAAUACAGCAGCAGAAGUGUACGUAAGGAGUAAAGUAUAAAAACGAAAGCAAGAAAAAUAUAUUAACUGGGAUUUGAGAGGAAAAGUAAUAGAAAAGAGAGAGAAAAUUAUAGAAUUGGUUUUCCCCUGAACACAUGAGAAAAUAGACGAGAUCAUAUGACUGUGAUAUCUGUACAAAGUCCUUCUCUCGAAAAAGCAACCUAAUUAUGCACAAACAUACUCAUACAGGUGAGAAACCAUAUCGUUGUGAUAUCUGUGGUAAAUCAUUCUC